AUGACUUGCAUCUUUCCUACCACGGCCUUGCUUCUUCUCCCUUCGCUACCCAUAAAGCUAGCGCUGCCCUAUCCGUCGCCGCUUUCCCACCACUCCCCUGUCCGUCACCGCCUUGCUGCCGCUCCCCUGUCCGUCGCCGCCUUCCUGCCGCUCCGCAGACCGUCGCCGCCUUCCCGCCGCCCCCCUGCCCGGCCACCUUCCUGCCUUACCACUCAGUGA
Molecule: ribosomal RNA, 219 nt
Filed under: Triticum aestivum (bread wheat)
Lineage: Eukaryota; Viridiplantae; Streptophyta; Magnoliopsida; Poales; Poaceae
Description: partial small subunit ribosomal RNA
Source: RNAcentral